GGGGGCGUAACGGUUUCGACGGGGACAUUUGAAGUUGUAGAAGCGUACCGAGGUUCCUACAGGCCUCGUUAAACAGGUAGGAAACAUAUAAUCGCAGAAAACUACGAUUACGCAUUAGCCGCUUAG
This 126-nucleotide transfer-messenger RNA is filed under the name Deltaproteobacteria bacterium HGW-Deltaproteobacteria-10. RNAcentral's name for it is "partial transfer-messenger RNA". It matches the Rfam family "transfer-messenger RNA", at positions 1 to 128 of the family's 374-position model. From Rfam's summary of the family: Bacterial tmRNA, also known as 10Sa RNA or SsrA, is named for its dual tRNA and mRNA-like properties. Its role is to liberate the mRNA from a stalled ribosome. The record is from RNAcentral. Lineage: Bacteria; Deltaproteobacteria.